Molecule: ribosomal RNA, 209 nt
Filed under: uncultured bacterium
Lineage: Bacteria
Description: partial 16S ribosomal RNA
Rfam family: Bacterial small subunit ribosomal RNA
Source: RNAcentral
GGUGCGCAGGCGGAUAGAUGUGUCAGGUGUGAAAUCUCGGGGCUCAACCUCGAAACUGCGCCUGAAACUGUCUAUCUAGAGUAUUGGAGAGGUAAGCGGAAUUUCCGGUGUAGCGGUGAAAUGCGUAGAUAUCGGAAGGAACACCAAUGGCGAAGGCAGCUUACUGGACAACUACUGACGCUCAGGCACGAAAGCAUGGGUAGCGAAAG